CAUCGUCGGAAGGAUCAAAACUACGUGCAUAGGACGCUCGAGCACUGCAGCUCGUCUCUAGCCUCAACACAAGCACGAGCCCAUGCAAGAAAUGUAUCAUCGACCGGAUCCAAACUCCUCGCAACAGGGAGUGCGCAUAAGCUUCCGCGACACGAGCUCAGGCAAUACAAUUGAAUGACAUGCCCUCGCAGUGCAACAUCUGCCUAAUAACACGCCCAAGCUCGGAGAUCAUCU
Molecule: long non-coding RNA, 234 nt
Filed under: Ricinus communis (castor bean)
Lineage: Eukaryota; Viridiplantae; Streptophyta; Magnoliopsida; Malpighiales; Euphorbiaceae
Description: long non-coding RNA (RCOM_LNC003780)
Source: RNAcentral